UACGUAGGUGGCAAGCGUUGUCCGGAAUUACUGGGUGUAAAGGGCGUGUAGGCGGGUGAUUAAGUCAGAUGUGAAAUUCCGAGGCUCAACCUCGGCGCUGCAUCUGAAACUGAACAUCUUGAGUGCUGGAGAGGAAAGCGGAAUUCCUAGUGUAGCGGUGAAAUGCGUAGAUAUUAGGAGGAACACCAGUGGCGAAGGCGGCUUUCUGGACAGUAACUGACGCUGAGGCGCGAAAGCGUGGGGAGCAAACAGGAUUAGAUACCCCCGUAGUCC
RNAcentral lists this ribosomal RNA (273 nucleotides) under uncultured bacterium. RNAcentral's name for it is "partial 16S ribosomal RNA". It matches the Rfam family "Bacterial small subunit ribosomal RNA", at positions 524 to 796 of the family's 1533-position model. The record is from RNAcentral.